UCUGGCAAUAGUAUAUCCUGGUUCAACUAGCGAAGGUGCAACUAAAAAGUAGUUCAGUUACCAAAUUUCCAUCCAGCGAAUUACGACUAGCAAAACAUAGAUCUGGACAACGGAACAUAGAUCUGGACAACGGAACGGAAGUGCUGGCCGAACAGCAACUGGCCCGUGUUGUCACCGACGAAAGUAACAACACCACGAUUAUUUUUGAGCAGGAUUCUGAAGUACCGGAGGCCGUAGCGGUUGAUAGCCCACCAUCGUCCGAUACGAUUUAACCCGCUGCAGUUGACGCUCCAUUGUCUGUUGAGCUCACAGACACCUCUGGCGUAAUCUUACCACGUUCCACGGAUGAAACGGAAGCUGUACCGAGUACAUCGGGAUUAUCGAUUCCUUUUUUGUAGGAUCAAUUCAAUCGCAUAUUUGACCCACUAAAAAUAUUUUUUAGUUACAUGCUGUUUUAAUUGUAGACGAGAAUGUAUUGAAGCAAAUAAAUCGUCACAACAUUUAAAAAUAUGUUUAAACAUUCUUCCCUAUUAUCCGAAUA
This is a long non-coding RNA of Topomyia yanbarensis, 541 nucleotides long. RefSeq lists it as uncharacterized. The transcript has 3 exons. NCBI's taxonomy places the organism in Eukaryota, Metazoa, Arthropoda, Insecta, Diptera, Culicidae. The record is from RefSeq and is a predicted model, not a curated record.